AGAUUAUAUAUCUUGUUAAUUUUAUAACUUAUAAUAGUUUGUAAAUGAAAAAUAAUUUUAAUAAUAAUAAUUAGUAGAUUUUAGUGAAAUUUGUAAAACUAUAAAGUAUAAGUACUGUGAAGGAAAGAAAAGUUAUAUUAAAAAAAAAAGAAAAAAUUAAAAUUUGUACCUUGUGUAUUAGGGAAAUUUUAUAUAGUUAAAAUAAUAAAUUUAAAUCUCGAAAUAAGAAUAGUUAAUUUUUAUAAAAGAGUUUUUAUAAGAUAAAAAUUUUUAAUUUAAAAUUAAAGAUGAAAUGUUAGGCGAGUUUUAUUAUAUCUAGUUUUUUAAAAGAAAAAUUUAAUUUAGGUUUUAUAUAAAUAAAUAAUAUAAAAAAAUAAAAUAGAAAGGUAAAGCUUUUUAUUAUAAUAAUAUGAAAUAGUAAAUUAUUAUAAGUGUAAUUAAUCUAAGCUUAAAAGUAGUUAUGUUUAUAAAGUGUUUUAACUAAAUUAUUAGCAAAUAUAUUUUACUUUUCUUUAAUAUUAAAAAUUUAUUUAAAACAAAAAAAAAUAAGGUAAAAUGAUUUUAUUAGUAGAAUGAUUAUUAUUAAAUAAUUUAAUAGAAUAAAUUUAAGAUUAAUAAGUAUAAAAGAAUGGGUAAUUUAAAGGAAUUUAGCAAAAAUUUUUCUUGCCUGUUUAUCAAAAACAUGUCUAUUUGGAGAUAUAGGAAGUCUAACCUGCUCACUGAUUAAAAAAAUUCAAGAGCCGCGGUAUUAUGACCGUGCAAAGGUAGCAUAAUCAUUAGGUUUUUAAAUGGAAUCUUGUAUGAAUGGUUGGACAAAGGAGGUUCUGUCUUUAUAUUAAAUUUGAAUUUUACUUUUGAGUGAAAAGGCUUAAAUAUUUCAAGGGGACGAUAAGACCCUAUAAAACUUUACAUUAUAAUUAUAUUUGAUUAAAUUUUAUAAUAAAAAUUUAAUGUUGUUAUUUGUUGUGUUGGGGAGACAAGAGUAGAAAUUAUAUUAGCUGCUUAACAAAUAAACAUUUAUUAAUGUGUAAUAAAUUUAUAGAUCCUAUUUAAAGAUUUAAAGAUUAAGUUACUUUAGGGAUAACAGUGUUAUUUUAUUUGAGAGUUCUUAUCGAAAAAAAAGUUUGCGACCUCGAUGUUGAAUUAAAAUAUCUUUAUAAUGUAGUUGUUAUAUUAGGAAGUCUGUUCGACCUUAANUUUUUUU
This 1204-nucleotide ribosomal RNA is filed under the name Perbrinckia uva. RNAcentral's name for it is "partial 16S ribosomal RNA". Lineage: Eukaryota; Metazoa; Arthropoda; Malacostraca; Decapoda; Parathelphusidae. The record is from RNAcentral.